This is an RNA transcript of Rattus norvegicus (Norway rat), 5344 nucleotides long. RefSeq lists it as uncharacterized. The record is from RefSeq and is a predicted model, not a curated record. Lineage: Eukaryota; Metazoa; Chordata; Mammalia; Rodentia; Muridae.
UGUCCCCCUGGCCGUUGUUACCAUGCCUGACACACAAAUCACGUUCUGCGGGCUGUGCUAGUGUGGCCCUAUGCCAUGCUAGCCCCAAGCCAUGCUAGCCCCAAGCAUUCUAUAGCCUAGCAUGGCUUCCUGUCACAGACUCUGUUCACACUCUCAACUACCGGGUGAAAUCAUUUCUCAACAAACUGGGACCCAACAACCAGAUUUAUAUGUUAAAUGCUCAACGCACAAUACAUCCACACAAUUAAGUUACAGUCAAUCGAUAAGGAUAUAAGCCGCCCACCUAGAUAAGAUAUAAUUUGCUCAUCCAGACACACAAAGUCCUGUACACAUCCAUCCCUUAAGAAUAGUCAUAGCAACCUGUAAAUGUGCAGAGAGAAAUCUUAACAUCUGCGGCCAUGUUCUCUCGGCUGUGCCUUCCCCUCUUUCUGGCCUCCUCUGCCUCUUUAAAACUUUUCUCCCGCCCAUUCUUCCUUCUCAUCCAAUGACAGGCCUCGUUCUAUCCUGUACCUGCCUUCACCUGCAUAAUGACAUCAACCUACAGACUAGGUUACCAAGUAAACCAGGCUGACCUCAAGCUUUUCCUUCUCCUUCCCGGUCAUUCACUGAUGGGAUACAUCGUUUUGUUUGCUCUUUCUCUCAUGUCUACUGGCCACACAGAAUGACUUGGAAGUGGACACUCACUGCUUACUUUUUUGAGAGGAGGAAAGCAAAUGUGUGUACAAACUCGGUGGACCCAAGAUCCAUUUCCAAUACGUGCUGGUAAGUUUCCCAUCUUGAAAGUGAGACAGGAACACAUCCAUCACGAUAUUCUUCUUUUCUUAUGGCCAACACCUUUACUCUUGUAACGUAAGGUUUCACAAAGAGUUCCCCAAAUAAAGGUAGAUCAAAAGUGGUUAGGUACUUAACCUUGGUAGUCAUGGGUAGUCACAUAACUCAGUCUUCAACUGUCAAUUUGGUAAAGUAGACAGGGUCCUAUCUAACCUUAGUAGGUCCUAGUACCAUGUAGUCCUCUCUUCCAUAACUUCCAAUUAGGACUCUUUUUGAUGGUAGUACACAAGAAGAGAAUAGCUCCAAGAAGCUCCAUAGACCAUGAUGAAAAUCUCUCAGCUAACCAUUGUUCUGAUCCUCCAUGAACUCUGUAAGUCUGACUUUGCUCCGUUUCCUUGUACUUCCAGCAUGCCCCACAUUUGACCAUGUGGGGAAAGCAGUUAUUAAGAACCCAGUGUGAGCCAUGCCAGCUGGAUGUAAUUUUUAGAGUAUGGCUUUCAUCCUCUAUUUUCGGAAGGCAUUCUAGUCAGUUUCCAGUUGGUCAGCAUUCCUGAGACACGUGGUUCAUCAGAGGUCACUCACAGGGCCGGCCCGGGCGUGAGAAGGAGGCAUCCUACACACGGGUCUUUCAAAGGAAAGCAACGCUGUUUUAACUGAGAUGCCACCAAGUUCUGUUACACUGCAGCUGCCAUCCUGCAGCUCGGAUUUCUCUAAACAUUGCUAAGAGCCAGGGUAAGGGAUUAUCAAAGUAUUACGAGUUAUUUCAGAAAUGCUUGGAAUGGUGCGCUUGUUAUUCAAGGAACUUGCUUGGUACUAGCUGACAUAUUCUCAGAUGAAAGACGCUGGGUCCAAAGUAGAUAAACCUUUUAUCAUACAAUGAUUUGCAACAGAUGCAAAAAUCCCCUUCCUCUUUUCCCAGAUGCCGUUUCUACAUUCAGGAUGAUCUAUACUCACAUUCUCAGCAAAGGAUUGAAUGUGACAAAAAUGCUUCUUUCUGGAUUUCAUCUUUCACCAAGGGAAAGUUUUCAUACAGUGAAAUGUGCACAGCUCUGGGGGGGUCUGUAUAAUUCACUGAGCUUUGAUAACUGUAUAUUCCUGGGUUAUUAUUUACAAGGAAGAUACAGAUAUUUCUCUUACCCCAGCAAAUUUGCCCAUUCAUAUUUAUAUUCUUCCCACUUCCUGUAGGCAAGUGUUUACGUGUUUUUCUGUCAGCACAUAUUUUUGCCUAUUCCGGAACUUUGGGUGUGUAAGCCCAAGCAAUGUGUCCUCUUGCACAUCUGUGUUCUGUUCUUUGGUUCAUUGUCAGGCUUUCGCCGUUGGGCAUAUUGCUGCACAGAUUAGUAGCUUUCUGAGUUUGUGCAAUCUGUGAGUAAUUUUUUUCCCCCUCACAAGAUGUGAGAAAUCUCCAGCUAUGACCUAAAGUAUUUGUUUCUUCUCAUUCGUUUUCUCAGGUCACUUCAUCUUGUCCUGAAUGCCGCUGAAACUUCCUUUUUCUUCUUUUCUCCAGAGUGGGCUUCUGAUAGUUUAAUCUGAAGUUCAUUAACUUAUUUUACAAGUUUGCAUUCAUUCACUGGAACAUGGUUAAUUUAUUUAAUUAUUCAUUUUGUGGGUGUGUGUGUAUGUUGAGGGGUACAGUGUGUGUGUGUGUGUGUGUGUGUGUGUGUGUGUGUGUGUGUGUAUGUACAUGUUCAUGUGCAUGCAAUGUAUAUGUGUAUGCCAGAGGUCUAUGUCUAGUGGCUUUCUCAAAUACUCUCCACAUUUUUUUGGAUACAGGUAAUUCUGAUGAACCUGGACAUUGCUUAUUCAACCAGACUGGUUGGUUAGUGCGUCCUGUACUCUGUCCUAUAUCUUCUGCUAUCCCUAAUAUACAGAUAGAUGAGUCUGUGUCUGGUUUAUUUAUUUUUAGUGUGUGUGUCUAUAUGUGUGCAUAGGUGGGUGUGUGUGCGCUUGUGAGUGUGUGAGUACACGCUCAGGCACACAUAUACCACAGCACACAUAUAGAGGUCAGAGGGCAACUCUCAGGCGUUGCUCCUCUCCUGCUACCUUGCCGAAUCUGGGAAUCCAAUUUAGGUCAUUUCCUCUGUGCACACACAUUUCAACAGCCUGUUCCUGGCUUUAUAUGUAGGUGUUAGAGAUCUAAAUACAGGUACUCAUGUUUGUGAGAUAAGUACCUUACCAAGCUAUGAACUGGUCAGGCUCCCAUUAAAAGCUUGCAAUAACUCUAUUGUCUUCCUUUCCUGUAAGCUGUUUGGUUUAGUGAAAACUUCAGUUAUUGGCUUACCGCCUUUGUAUUGUUGGUCAUCUGUUUUGUUAUAACAUAUUUCUGGAAAGUUCUGAAGGUUUUCUAAGCCCUUCUAAUUGAUAGGAUUCAGAUUCCAAACUUCUUCCCUAUGUGUAGCAAAUAGUUCUCUCUCUCUCUCUCUCUCUCUCUCUCUCUCUCUCUCUCUCUCUCUCUUUCUCUUUUUCCCCCUUGAGAUAGCAUCCCAUGCUUCUCAGACUGGUCUUAAACUUGUUUAUUUCUCUGAGAAUGACCUAGAACUUCUGUUCUUCCUGACACCCACCUCCUGAUUAUAAAUAUGUCCCCAUAGCAAGUAUGUGGUGUUGGGGGUUGAGCGCAGGACUUCAUGCAUGCUAGGCAAGCACUUUACCAACUGAGUUACAUCCCAAUCUCCACAGCAAAUAAAAUUCUUACUCGGUUCUUUUAUAUUUCCUGCUAUUUUUUCUUUUCUCUCUUUUUUUUCUUACAAGGUUUUGGAGUUUAUCUCUGUUAAGCAUAGUUUUGGAGGAAGAGCCAAGAAUUUAUAACAAUUUAUAUGUAGCUUUUGGAGGCCAUUUAUUGGGCAGAGCUGAAGUCUGCUCUCUGGCUUCUUAAUUUAAUGAUGUGCCUUUCCGUCUGAGUUUUCUGUACCCUGAAUCACAUGUGCACUGGGAAGUGUUCCCAGGAGAAAGGCAGGGAAAUGUGGACCUCACUCAAUAAAUGGAGUUUGUUAUAUUCAAAAAUUUAACCUUCACUGGAAGGUACUUUACAUAAUACCAAAGGAGAAAGGCAAACAAAAAUCCAGCUACACUCCCUUUGAUCUACAAUGAUGAGCUGCCUGCAAGAUACACUGAUAAAAUAGUGAACUGUAUUUUUCCUUUGUUCUGUUGAGAUAGGGUCUCACGGAGACUGCAAUGGCCUCAGAUGCACUACACAGCUAAGUAUGACCUUAAGCUCCUAUCUGCCUCAAGUUCCUGGGUGUUAGGAUUACAAGCAAGUGCUAGCACAGCUUUAAACAGUUUAUUCUUUGGAAUGCAUUGAGAGAGAGAGAGAGAGAGAGAGAGAGAGAGAGAGAGAGAGAGAGAGAGAGAGAGAGAGAGAGACUUCUAGGAGUUCAGUCUAAUUCAAAGCACUCUGUAAUUACUAAACCUGAGUUUAAUCUUAAAACAAUUACUUUUUGGAAAUGGUCAAAUAAAUAUUUAUAUUAUUUAUUUUCCUCCUUGGCCUCAUCUUUUCUCUUUUAUCCAAAAAGAUUUUUUUUAUUCUUAUUUUCCCCCUACACUGCAGCCUUUUUACCUUCAAGUUCCUCCCACCCCAGCCUCUCUCCCCGUUCCUCACCACUUUUACUAGAAUGCUCCUUGACUUACAAAUUCACCAUAUAUUGAAAGUAUCCUAAGUAGAAAAUGCAUUUAGAAUACUUAACCUACAAGCAUCCUGGCUUAGCAUCACAGCACCAUGUAGAAUUUAGGCCGUUUUAGCUUUAUGACAGCGUGGCUCAUUGGCAGGUGUGGCUGGCUCGUGUCGCAAACAAUCAGCCCAAGAAAGGAUCUAAAUUCAAAAUGCGAAGUACGGUUGUAUUGAAUACCUGUUGCUUUCUUACCCCCAUAGAGUUAAAGGAUUUGAGUUGCACUAUCACAGACUGGGCACUAUGUUAGACUAUUUGCUUUUCUUUUCUUUUCUUUUUUUUUAACAAAGAAAAACAAGUGUUUAUUUCUCUACCUUCUUCCUAAAAGGCAGGUACUCAAAACUAUAUGGGGAUGAACCAAUAGGAACGCUAGACUUAUAAGUAAUAAGUCAUGCAAUAUGUGGGGUAUUUAUGUGGAAACAAAUUCCCAAGGACUUUUAGUUCAUGUAAGUUCAAUCUUUACAUUAUUAUGAGAAUGUAUUUAUUUUAUUUUUUUUCUGUCCACUUCUUUUUUUUUUUUUUAUUUAUUAACUUGAAUAUUUCUUAUAUACAUUUCGAGUGUUAUUUCCUUUCCCGGUUUCCGGGCAAACAUCCCCCUAAUCCCUCCCCCUCCCCUUCUUUACGGGUGUUCCCCUCUCCAUCCUCCCCCCAUUGCCGCCCUCCCCCCAACAAUCUAGUUCACUGGGAGUUCAGUCUUAGCAGGACCCAGGGCUUCCCCUUCCACUGGUGCUCUUUCUAGGAUAUUCAUUGCUACCUAUGAGGUCAGAGUCCACGGUCAGUCCAUGUAUAGUCUUUAGGUAGUGGCUUAGUCCCUGGAAGCUCUGGUUGCUUGGCAUUGUUGUACAUAUGGGGUCUCGAGCCCCUUCAAGCUCUUCCAGUUCUUUCUCUGAUUCCUUCAACGGGGGUCCUAU